CUGGCAGUAGCUCAGUGGUAGAGCUCUUGCUUCAUAUGCUGGAAGACUUGGCUUCGAUUCCCGGCUGCUUCG
Toxocara canis (dog roundworm) is the source of this 72-nucleotide transfer RNA. It matches the Rfam family "tRNA". From Rfam's summary of the family: Transfer RNA (tRNA) molecules are approximately 80 nucleotides in length. Their secondary structure includes four short double-helical elements and three loops (D, anti-codon, and T loops). The record is from Rfam. Lineage: Eukaryota; Metazoa; Nematoda; Chromadorea; Rhabditida; Toxocaridae.